This 442-nucleotide ribosomal RNA is filed under the name uncultured bacterium. RNAcentral's name for it is "partial 16S ribosomal RNA". It matches the Rfam family "Bacterial small subunit ribosomal RNA", at positions 339 to 795 of the family's 1533-position model. The record is from RNAcentral.
CUACGGGCGGCAGCAGUGGGGAAUAUUGCGCAAUGGGGGAAACCCUGACGCAGCAACGCCGCGUGAGGGAAGAAGGUUUUCGGAUUGUAAACCUCUGUCCUUGGUGACGAAGGAAGUGACGGUAGCCAAGGAGGAAGCCCCGGCUAACUACGUGCCAGCAGCCGCGGUAAUACGUAGGGGGCGAGCGUUGUCCGGAAUGACUGGGCGUAAAGGGCGCGUAGGCGGCCUGAUAAGUCUGGAGUGAAAGUCCUGCUUUUAAGGUGGGAAUUGCUUUGGAGACUGUCGGGCUUGAGUGCGGAAGAGGCAAGUGGAAUUCCCAGUGUAGCGGUGAAAUGCGUAGAGAUUGGGAGGAACACCAGUGGCGAAGGCGACUUGCUGGGCCGUAACUGACGCUGAAGCGCGAAAGCGUGGGGAGCGAACAGGAUUAGAUACCCUUGUAGUC